This 476-nucleotide ribosomal RNA is filed under the name Karenia brevis. RNAcentral describes it as "partial Bacterial large subunit ribosomal RNA". Lineage: Eukaryota; Dinophyceae; Gymnodiniales; Kareniaceae. The record is from RNAcentral.
UGACGGUAAGACCCUGAGCACCUUUCCUUCUUUCACCACCGGUUACAAGCGCUAGCCGCGGUGGUGAGAAUAGGUGCUCGAGGUCUCUCCGCCGGCGGCCGUCAACCGCACACCUCGAGAGCCUUCUAUGUUACAGGAACUCCAACAAACGUCCAACCUCAACCACAAACUUUCAUUUUCCAGACGUGGUUGAUGGACGGUUGGCCGGGAGUUUCCUGGAGAAGGCUCUCGAAGAAGAGGUGUGCGGUGGGCGAGGCCGUGGGCGAUAGCCGAUUCUCUUCUUUUAAUAAGCCUUCGGCCUGCAGGCCUGGGAGGAAGGCUUAAGAAGAGAAUGAAUCGCCCACCAACGCCUUCGCCCCCCGGCAGGAGCCUUGUCAUCGGUUAACCCUUGAUUAAAGGCUCGCCGGGGAUAACAGGUUCUUGAAUCCCGAGAGCUCCAAUGGAAGGAUUCUGAUGGCACCUCCAUGUCGUCUCAU